AUGAGCAGCAGCUUAGGGAGGAUGGGGAGCACGACAGCGGUGGCGGAGGGGAGCAGCAGCAGCAGGCCUCGCCGGGGCGCCCCUCGCCUCCUCACCGCCCGCCGGGGGCGCGUGGUUCAGGGCCACCCUUGCCUGCUGCGGCUACGUCCUGCUGGCGCUGCUCGCCCUCGCGCUCCUCCUCCUUCUCCCCGUUGGGUACCUCGGCCAGAAAAGGAGGGCACCAUUCACCAUGGAGGACUGUCGUGUCCAGUCUCCCUCACUUCCUCCCUCCUGCCUCAAUACCAUAGCACCCAUGACCAUGGCGACUCCACUGGAGGUGCAGCAAGCAGGUGCUGUUGUGUGAAGGACAGGAGAAGAGGGUAG
RNAcentral lists this ribosomal RNA (363 nucleotides) under Triticum aestivum (bread wheat). Its description in RNAcentral is "partial small subunit ribosomal RNA". Lineage: Eukaryota; Viridiplantae; Streptophyta; Magnoliopsida; Poales; Poaceae. The record is from RNAcentral.